Molecule: ribosomal RNA, 578 nt
Filed under: uncultured Paenibacillus sp.
Lineage: Bacteria; Bacillati; Bacillota; Bacilli; Caryophanales; Paenibacillaceae
Description: bacterial SSU rRNA
Rfam family: Bacterial small subunit ribosomal RNA
Source: RNAcentral
ACGGGUGAGUAACACGUAGGCAACCUGCCCUCAAGUUUGGGACAACUACCGGAAACGGUAGCUAAUACCGAAUAAUUGUUUUCUUCGCCUGAAGGGAGCUGGAAAGACGGAGCAAUCUGUCACUUGGGGAUGGGCCUGCGGCGCAUUAGCUAGUUGGUGAGGUAACGGCUCACCAAGGCGACGAUGCGUAGCCGACCUGAGAGGGUGAUCGGCCACACUGGGACUGAGACACGGCCCAGACUCCUACGGGAGGCAGCAGUAGGGAAUCUUCCGCAAUGGGCGAAAGCCUGACGGAGCAAUGCCGCGUGAGUGAUGAAGGUUUUCGGAUCGUAAAGCUCUGUUGCCAGGGAAGAACGCUUGGGAGAGUAACUGCUCUCAAGGUGACGGUACCUGAGAAGAAAGCCCCGGCUAACUACGUGCCAGCAGCCGCGGUAAUACGUAGGGGGCAAGCGUUGUCCGGAAUUAUUGGGCGUAAAGCGCGCGCAGGCGGUCAUUUAAGUCUGGUGUUUAAUCCCGGGGCUCAACCCCGGAUCGCACUGGAAACUGGGUGACUUGAGUGCAGAAGAGGAGAGUGGAAU